GAUGGACGCUGGCGGCGUGCCUAAUACAUGCAAGUCGAGCGAACAGACGAGGAGCUUGCUCCUCUGACGUUAGCGGCGGACGGGUGAGUAACACGUGGAUAACCUACCUAUAAGACUGGGAUAACUUCGGGAAACCGGAGCUAAUACCGGAUAAUAUAUUGAACCGCAUGGUUCAAUAGUGAAAGACGGUUUUGCUGUCACUUAUAGAUGGAUCCGCGCCGCAUUAGCUAGUUGGUAAGGUAACGGCUUACCAAGGCAACGAUGCGUAGCCGACCUGAGAGGGUGAUCGGCCACACUGGAACUGAGAAACGGUCCAGACUCCUACGGGAGGCAGCAGUAGGGAAUCUUCCGCAAUGGGCGAAAGCCUGACGGAGCAACGCCGCGUGAGUGAUGAAGGUCUUCGGAUCGUAAAACUCUGUUAUUAGGGAAGAACAAAUGUGUAAGUAACUAUGCACGUCUUGACGGUACCUAAUCAGAAAGCCACGGCUAACUACGUG
RNAcentral lists this ribosomal RNA (497 nucleotides) under uncultured bacterium. RNAcentral describes it as "partial 16S ribosomal RNA". It matches the Rfam family "Bacterial small subunit ribosomal RNA", at positions 28 to 507 of the family's 1533-position model. The record is from RNAcentral.